This 366-nucleotide ribosomal RNA is filed under the name Alipes grandidieri. RNAcentral's name for it is "eukaryotic LSU rRNA". It matches the Rfam family "Eukaryotic large subunit ribosomal RNA", at positions 666 to 946 of the family's 3401-position model. Lineage: Eukaryota; Metazoa; Arthropoda; Chilopoda; Scolopendromorpha; Scolopendridae. The record is from RNAcentral.
CCAAGGAGUCUAACACGUGCGCGAGUCACAGGGUAACUCGCAAGACUAACUAAACCCUAAGGCGAAAUGAAAGUGAAGGUCAGCCUUGUGUUGACUGAGGCAGGAUCCGUCCGGGUGAGCGAAGCUCUUCUUCCUUUCGCGGGUUCCGUCCCGCGGGGGAGCUCGGCGGCGCACUGCCGGCCCAUCUCGGCCGCUUCUUGUCGGCGAGGUGGAGCCAGAGCGCACACGUUGGGACCCGAAAGAUGGUGAACUAUGCUCGGGCAGGACGAAGCCAGAGGAAACUCUGGUGGAGGUCCGUAGCGAUUCUGACGUGCAAAUCGAUCGUCGGACCCGAGUAUAGGGGCGAAAGACUAAUCGAACCGUCUA